RNAcentral lists this ribosomal RNA (143 nucleotides) under uncultured eukaryote. RNAcentral describes it as "partial 18S ribosomal RNA". It matches the Rfam family "Eukaryotic small subunit ribosomal RNA", at positions 1299 to 1458 of the family's 1831-position model. The record is from RNAcentral.
UGGUGGAGCGAUUUGUCUGGUCAAUUCCGAUAACGAACGAUACUCUAGCCUACUAAAUAGUUCGGGGACCCCCACAAAGGGGCCCCGCUUCAACUUCUUAGAGGGACAGGUGGCGUUUAGCCACACGAGAUUGAGCAAUAACA